RNAcentral lists this unclassified non-coding RNA (1183 nucleotides) under Hevea brasiliensis (rubber tree). The record is from RNAcentral. Lineage: Eukaryota; Viridiplantae; Streptophyta; Magnoliopsida; Malpighiales; Euphorbiaceae.
GUUGGUAUCAUGUCUGUGAAUCAUACAAAUCCAAUGAUGUUCAGUGGGCAUUACGAGCAAAGGCUAUUCUUGAUCGGGUGCAACUAAUACUUGCUGAUAGGUCCCAGAACAACCAGGAAAAAGUACAACCCAAUGUGCAGUACAUUGGUAAUUUCCUAGGUAUUAAAAAAUGGGUGGUAAGUUAAACAGAUUUCGAUUUAGUCAGUUUUAAUGUGGUCUCUUUCAAAUAAAUUAUUCAUUUUCCUUAAUUUCUGUUUUAACCUGUUGUAAGAUUGAUAAUUUCAAUGAGAAGAUUAAAGCAGGGUCAACAGCCGUCUUGUCCACACUUACCAGUCAUUGGAUCCCACACUCAAAAAAUUUGCAAAUUCAAAUUUAAGCUGGUAAGAAUUUAAUUGGACCAACUAAUUGUUCACUGAAUAACACUAAGAUUUAAUCUACGCUAUUUCUUUCUUUUUUUUAUUUUUUUUCCUUGCUUUGUCUCUUUCUUUCCUUCUUUCUCUCAUCGUUUCCUAUUCUUUAUUUGUGACUAAUGAACUGUAAACAGAUCUAAUUCAAUACUUUUCUGUUGUCUUAAGAAAUGUUCACUUGUUAGAUAUUUUGAACCUUUUUUGAAAAAAUUUUGGCUGCGUUUCAUUUGCUUUGCAUUGGAGCUUUUGAGAUCUGGGUGCUUAUUUAUGGAGGUAGUUCAAUCCUGAAUUAUCGUUUUUCAAGUGAUUUAUUAGUAGAAUUAUUUUUUUUGGAGGGAGGGAGGGGGGUUGUUCUUGUUAUUAGAUUCUUAAUUGCAGUGAAUUUUGACCAUUUCCAUAUUGAAAAUUUGAUUUGGAAGUUUGGUUUCUUUCGCUUUUACUGGAUCGUUAAUUCAUUGGAUUCAGAUCGCUUAACGUUUCUAAUUUUCAGCUAAAGAAAGCAUAGGUUCGUUCCAUAUAGAUAUUUUCCAUUUGGCCUUUAUGGGUUUCGUUUCUAUCAUUGAAACCAAACACCGGCACAUAACAUUUCUACAUUUUCACUUAUGUUUCUGCGAAAGAAAUAAACUUUUUCUUCGCCCCCUUCAUUGAUGCAUCGAAAACUUUAUAAUUUGUUUUUGGCCUUCCUGGAUGUCGUUUGGUCCACAAAAUCAGUCAUAAACACACGAGAAUUUUAGAGUCCUUUACUCUUUCAAUUUUUUUUUUUUUUUGACUUGGUG